RNAcentral lists this ribosomal RNA (301 nucleotides) under uncultured bacterium. RNAcentral describes it as "partial 16S ribosomal RNA". It matches the Rfam family "Bacterial small subunit ribosomal RNA", at positions 509 to 807 of the family's 1533-position model. The record is from RNAcentral.
CAGUAGCCACGGGAAUACAGAGGGUGCAAGCGUUAAUCGGAAUUACUGGGCGUAAAGCGCGCGUAGGUGGUUUGUUAAGUUGGAUGUGAAAGCCCCGGGCUCAACCUGGGAACUGCAUCCAAAGCUGGCAAGCUAGAGUACGGUAGAGGGUGGUGGAAUUUCCUGUGUAGCGGUGAAAUGCGUAGAUAUAGGAAGGAACACCAGUGGCGAAGGCGACCACCUGGACUGAUACUGACACUGAGGUGCGAAAGCGUGGGGAGCAAACAGGAUUAGAUACCCCUGUAGUCCCUGUCUCUUAUAC